CCUACGGGAGGCAGCAGUGAGGAAUAUUGGUCAAUGGACGAGAGCCUGAACCAGCCAAGUAGCGUGAAGGAUGACUGCCCUAUGGGUUGUAAACUUCUUUUAUAUGGGAAUAAAACAGGGUAUGCAUACCCUCUUGUAUGUACCAUAUGAAUAAGCAUCGGCUAACUCCGUGCCAGCAGCCGCGGUAAUACGGAGGAUCCGAGCGUUAUCCGGAUUUAUUGGGUUUAAAGGGAGCGUAGGUGGAUUGUUAAGUCAGUUGUGAAAGUUUGGGGCUCAACCGUAGGAUUGCAGUUGAAACUGGCAGUCUUGAGUACAGUAGAGGUGGGCGGAAUGCGUGGUGUAGCGGUGAAAUGCUUAGAUAUCACGAAGAACUCCGAUUGCGAAGGCAGCUCACUGGAGUGCAACUGACGCUGAUGCUCGAAAGUGUGGGUAUCAAACAGGAUUAGAUACCCUGGUAGUC
Molecule: ribosomal RNA, 460 nt
Filed under: uncultured bacterium
Lineage: Bacteria
Description: partial 16S ribosomal RNA
Rfam family: Bacterial small subunit ribosomal RNA
Source: RNAcentral